This 301-nucleotide ribosomal RNA is filed under the name uncultured bacterium. RNAcentral describes it as "partial 16S ribosomal RNA". It matches the Rfam family "Bacterial small subunit ribosomal RNA", at positions 509 to 809 of the family's 1533-position model. The record is from RNAcentral.
CAGCAGCCACGGGAAUACGGAGGGUGCAAGCGUUACUCGGAAUCACUGGGCGUAAAGCGCGCGCAGGUGGUUUAAUAAGUCUGAUGUGAAAGCCCACGGCUCAACCGUGGAGGGUCAUUGGAAACUGUUAAACUUGAGUGCAGGAGAGAAAAGUGGAAUUCCUAGUGUAGCGGUGAAAUGCGCAGAGAUUAGGAGGAACACCAGUGGCGAAGGCGGCUUUUUGGCCUGUAACUGACACUGAGUCGCGAAAGCGUGGGGAGCAAACAGGAUUAGAUACCCCUGUAGUCCCUGUCUCUUAUAA